AUGAGAGAUUAUCAAGGUCGGAGCAGAGCAGCAAGGGAUGAGAAAAGGAGGAAGGGGUCUAGAGACAGCGAUGGGCAAAACAAUCAUGUGGAGGUAGCAAGAGGCAGUUCUCGACAAAUCACUAUAAGUGCAAGGAUCCAAUGGAAGAAUUUGGUGAAGAACAAGGUCUCCAUCAUUUGGCGUCAAGGUCCCCAAGCCCCUGUAUCCGCCCUUGAAGCUGGGUUUAGCGAGCUAAGGUUGCAGUGGAGAAUGAACGUGCAAAUUUGCAGCAGCAAAGGUCUUUCUACGUUUGAUGGGCACCUAAAUUGGUUCGAUUUCACGGAUGAUGGAGCCUUGCUGUGUGACGUAUUUCCUGGUGAAGAAAUAUUUGUGUGUACUGGAGUUAAUGCAUCUCCAAGGAAUAACCAAACCUUUAUUCCUAUUUUAUCAUAUAUGCUACACUUAAAUGCAAAGUGUUAG
This 459-nucleotide ribosomal RNA is filed under the name Triticum aestivum (bread wheat). RNAcentral describes it as "partial small subunit ribosomal RNA". The record is from RNAcentral. Lineage: Eukaryota; Viridiplantae; Streptophyta; Magnoliopsida; Poales; Poaceae.